RNAcentral lists this ribosomal RNA (465 nucleotides) under Vreelandella stevensii. RNAcentral's name for it is "partial 16S ribosomal RNA". It matches the Rfam family "Bacterial small subunit ribosomal RNA", at positions 338 to 795 of the family's 1533-position model. Lineage: Bacteria; Pseudomonadati; Pseudomonadota; Gammaproteobacteria; Oceanospirillales; Halomonadaceae. The record is from RNAcentral.
CCUACGGGGGGCAGCAGUGGGGAAUAUCGGACAAUGGGGGGAACCCUGAUCCAGCCAUGCCGCGUGUGUGAAGAAGGCCCUCGGGUUGUAAAGCACUUUCAGUGAGGAAGAACGCCUGGUGGUUAAUACCCAUCAGGAAAGACAUCACUCACAGAAGAAGCACCGGCUAACUCCGUGCCAGCAGCCGCGGUAAUACGGAGGGUGCGAGCGUUAAUCGGAAUUACUGGGCGUAAAGCGCGCGUAGGUGGCUUGAUAAGCCGGUUGUGAAAGCCCCGGGCUCAACCUGGGAACGGCAUCCGGAACUGUCAAGCUAGAGUGCAGGAGAGGAAGGUAGAAUUCCCGGUGUAGCGGUGAAAUGCGUAGAGAUCGGGAGGAAUACCAGUGGCGAAGGCGGCCUUCUGGACUGACACUGACACUGAGGUGCGAAAGCGUGGGUAGCAAACAGGAUUAGAUACCCCAGUAGUC